AAUUGUUCGCAAUGGGCGCAAGCCUGACGACGCAACGCCGCGUGGAGGAUGAAGGUCUUCGGAUUGUAAACUCCUGUUGAUCGGGACGAAAAGCUCCAACCCAAUACGUUGGAGACUGACGGUACCGGUUGAGGAAGCCACGGCUAACUCUGUGCCAGCAGCCGCGGUAAGACAGAGGUGCCAAGCGUUAGGCGGAAUCACUGGGCUUAAAGCGUGUGUAGGCGGAUCGUUAAGUACCUUGUGAAAUCCCACGGCUCAACCGUGGAACUGCUGGGUAUACUGGCGAUCUUGAGCCACCUAGGGGCGAGCGGAACAAACGGUGGAGCGGUGAAAUGCGUAGAUAUCGUUUGGAACGCCAACGGUGAAAACAGCUCGCUGGGGGUGUGCUGACGCUGAGACACGAAAGCCAGGGGAGCGAAC
This 420-nucleotide ribosomal RNA is filed under the name uncultured bacterium. Its description in RNAcentral is "bacterial SSU rRNA". It matches the Rfam family "Bacterial small subunit ribosomal RNA", at positions 360 to 773 of the family's 1533-position model. The record is from RNAcentral.